RNAcentral lists this transfer RNA (74 nucleotides) under Patescibacteria group bacterium. RNAcentral's name for it is "tRNA-Trp". It matches the Rfam family "tRNA". From Rfam's summary of the family: Transfer RNA (tRNA) molecules are approximately 80 nucleotides in length. Their secondary structure includes four short double-helical elements and three loops (D, anti-codon, and T loops). The record is from RNAcentral. RNAcentral also lists the same sequence under 1 other name.
GGGCGAUUAGUUAAGUGGUAUAACAUCGGUUUCCAAAACCGAGAUCGGGGGUUCGAUUCCCUCAUCGCCUGCCA